RNAcentral lists this ribosomal RNA (397 nucleotides) under uncultured bacterium. Its description in RNAcentral is "bacterial SSU rRNA". It matches the Rfam family "Bacterial small subunit ribosomal RNA", at positions 521 to 916 of the family's 1533-position model. The record is from RNAcentral.
UAAUACGUAGGGUGCGAGCGUUAAUCGGAAUUACUGGGCGUAAAGCGUGCGCAGGCGGUUGUGUAAGACAGAUGUGAAAUCCCCGGGCUCAACCUGGGAACUGCGUUUGUGACUGCACAACUAGAGUACGGCAGAGGGAGGUGGAAUUCCGCGUGUAGCAGUGAAAUGCGUAGAGAUGCGGAGGAACACCGAUGGCGAAGGCAGCCUCCUGGGCCAGUACUGACGCUCAUGCACGAAAGCGUGGGGAGCAAACAGGAUUAGAUACCCUGGUAGUCCACGCCCUAAACGAUGUCAACUAGUUGUUCGGUGAGGAGACUCAUUGAGUAACGCAGCUAACGCGUGAAGUUGACCGCCUGGGGAGUACGGCCGCAAGGUUAAAACUCAAAUGAAUUGACGG